This 494-nucleotide ribosomal RNA is filed under the name uncultured bacterium. RNAcentral's name for it is "partial 16S ribosomal RNA". It matches the Rfam family "Bacterial small subunit ribosomal RNA", at positions 30 to 507 of the family's 1533-position model. The record is from RNAcentral.
AUUGAACGCUGGCGGCAUGCUUUACACAUGCAAGUCGAACAGCAGCGGGGAGGAGCUUGCUUCUCUGCCGGCGAGUGGCGAACGGGUGAGUAAUACAUCGGAACGUGUCGAGAAGAGGGGGAUAACCACCCGAAAGGGUGGCUAAUACCGCAUAAAUUCUGAGGAAGAAAGCUGGGGACCUAGGAAUAGGCCUAGCGCUUUUUGAGCGGCCGAUGUCGGAUUAGCUAGUUGGUGAGGUAAAGGCUCACCAAGGCGAAGAUCUGUAGCGGGUCUGAGAGGAUGAUCCGCCACACUGGGACUGAGACACGGCCCAGACUCCUACGGGAGGCAGCAGUGGGGAAUUUUGGACAAUGGGGGCAACCCUGAUCCAGCCAUGCCGCGUGUAUGAAGAAGGCCUUAGGGUUGUAAAGUACUUUUGUUAGGGAAGAAAAGUCAGCUGUGAAUAAUGGCUGAUACUGACGGUACCUAAAGAAUAAGCACCGGCUAACUACGUG